AGUGCUUGCACUCUGUGAAACAAGAUACAGGCUAGCGGCGGACGGGUGAGUAACACGUGGGUAACCUGCCUAAGAGAUCGGGAUAACACCUGGAAACAGAUGCUAAUACCGGAUAACAACAGAUGAUGCCUAUCAACUGUUUAAAAGAUGGUUCUGCUAUCACUCUUGGAUGGACCUGCGGUGCAUUAGCUAGUUGGUAGGGUAACGGCCUACCAAGGCGAUGAUGCAUAGCCGAGUUGAGAGACUGAUCGGCCACAUUGGGACUGAGACACGGCCCAAACUCCUACGGGAGGCAGCAGUAGGGAAUCUUCCACAAUGGACGCAAGUCUGAUGGAGCAACGCCGCGUGAGUGAAGAAGGGUUUCGGCUCGUAAAGCUCUGUUGUUGGUGAAGAAGGACAGGGGUAGUAACUGACCUUUGUUUGACGGUAAUCAAUUAGAAAGUCACGGCUAACUACGUGCCAGCAGCCGCGGUAAUACGUAGGUGGCAAGCGUUGUUCGGAUUUAUUGGGCGUAAAGCGAGUGCAGGCGGCUCGAUAAGUCUGAUGUGAAAGCCUUCGGCUCAACCGGAGAAUUGCAUCAGAAACUGUCGAGCUUGAGUACAGAAGAGGAGAGUGGAACUCCAUGUGUAGCGGUGAAAUGCGUAGAUAUAUGGAAGAACACCGGUGGCGAAGGCGGCUCUCUGGUCUGUUACUGA
RNAcentral lists this ribosomal RNA (695 nucleotides) under uncultured bacterium. RNAcentral's name for it is "bacterial SSU rRNA". It matches the Rfam family "Bacterial small subunit ribosomal RNA", at positions 63 to 743 of the family's 1533-position model. The record is from RNAcentral.